CAUACAUGUAAAAAUACCAGCUAAAAUUUUCUAGCAUGGUGACAAGGACUUUGCCAGCCAUGGGGUGGUCAGGUCACUUAGCAGCAGUAGUGAAAUGUAGGGAAUGCAUCUGCAGUCUCAUAGCUCUCUGCAUGUAUGUUUGUGUUUCAAGGUGUCUUAACUGAUGACUGUUACCAUGUCUGUUCCUUGGCUACAGAGAAAUUUGUACUUAUUUUAUCUUUCAUCAGGUAAUCGUGAAUUCCCCCAUCUUACACUGUUUCAUUUCUCUUGCACUGUAUAAUUUCGUUUAUGAUUUCACAACAAAAGUCAUAAAACAUGGGGAAGCAUUUUUGAGAUGCACAGACCUUAUCUGCAAUUGUCCUGUAUUACUUCAUGUAAUCUGGUUAUUUUUCUCAGUAGAACUACUUGAUGGUAAGCAAAAGUGAAGGAAAAUGAAGCUAUUGGCUUCCUGCAAGACUUGGCUUUUGACUCUUUCUUUUCACCUUUUUUUUCUUGCUUGCAUUUUUCUUUUUUUUAAAUGAAAAGUAGCUUUACUAAAGUAGUCACUGCAUAAACUCCCAGCCUUGUAAAACUAUCAUUGAAAAAUACCAGGCAAGGCACAGAAUGUAAUUGCUGCCCUUUUUACCAUGAUGAAAGUAAUGUUAUUUUGGUAGUCCAUCUACAAAAUUUUACUCAUCUUGGCCUUCUUUCAGUAGUUCAUUCCUAUUCAGCAAAUUCCUAUCCACAUCAGGGCACAGGAAUGUAUUUCCUUACAGAACCACCAUACUGUACAAAGGAAGAUGUAGUGGGAGUUAUUUCAAAGUACUAACUUCUGCUCUACAGUCUUCACAAUCACUGGUGGGGAACCACAGGAAGCAUAGUGAUCAAGUAGCUGAAAUUAAGCAUGUCCUUAUAUACUUUGCUGCACAGGGAUAAAGUUAGGUCUCAAUCAGAAAUCAAGCUGCAAAGCUCAGCUUUUCAGAGCCAGUCGCCUUACUUGCCUAUGCAGCGUGAAAAGUUACAUGCAGCUGUGCCAGGGAGAAAAUGA
Molecule: long non-coding RNA, 1027 nt
Filed under: Crocodylus porosus (Australian saltwater crocodile)
Lineage: Eukaryota; Metazoa; Chordata; Crocodylia; Crocodylidae
Description: lncRNA (ENSCPRG00005017052.1)
Source: RNAcentral